This is a long non-coding RNA of Heteronotia binoei (common prickly gecko), 200 nucleotides long. RefSeq lists it as uncharacterized. NCBI's taxonomy places the organism in Eukaryota, Metazoa, Chordata, Lepidosauria, Squamata, Gekkonidae. The transcript has 3 exons. The record is from RefSeq and is a predicted model, not a curated record.
AAUAAUAUGGCAGGCAAGAAAAAAGAAAUUCAGCUGCAGGCAACAAUACUCAAUCAAACUCAGUGGGAUGAAAUGUUGUUAGUAAAAGGCCUAACAGUAGUGGAUGUUUAUCAGGCUUGGUGUGGGCCUUGCAAAGCAGUGGUGACCCUGUUCAGAAAGUUAAAAAAUGAAUACGGUGAAGAUGACCUUCUACAUUUUGC